RNAcentral lists this ribosomal RNA (465 nucleotides) under uncultured bacterium. RNAcentral describes it as "bacterial SSU rRNA". It matches the Rfam family "Bacterial small subunit ribosomal RNA", at positions 338 to 795 of the family's 1533-position model. The record is from RNAcentral.
CCUACGGGUUGCAGCAGUAGGGAAUCUUCGGCAGUGGACGAAAGUCUGACCGAGCAACGCCGCGUGAGUGAAGAAGGUUUUCGGAUCGUAAAACUCUGUUGUUAGAGAAGAACAAGUAGGAGAGUAACUGCUCUUACCUUGACGGUAUCUAACCAGAAAGCCACGGCUAACUACGUGCCAGCAGCCGCGGUAAUACGUAGGUGGCAAGCGUUGUCCGGAUUUAUUGGGCGUAAAGCGAGCGCAGGCGGUCUUUUAAGUCUGAUGUGAAAGCCCUCGGCUCAACCGAGGAAGGUCAUUGGAAACUGGAGGACUUGAGUGCAGAAAAGGAGAGUGGAAUUCCAUGUGUCGCGGUGAAAUGCGUAGAUAUGUGGAGGAACACCAGUGGCGAAGGCGGCUCUCUGGUCUGUAACUGACGCUGAGGCGCGAAAGCGUGGGGAGCAAACAGGAUUAGAUACCCUCGUAGUC